UGCGAGUCAUUGUAGUAAUACAAGGCAGACGGCUCAGUAACGCGUAGUCAACCUAACCUAUGGACGGGAAUAACCUCGGGAAACUGAGUAUAAUGCCCGAUAGAACAUUAUGCCUGGAAUGGUUUAUGUUCCAAAUGAUUUAUCGCCGUAGGAUGGGACUGCGGCCUAUCAGUUUGUUGGUGAGGUAAUGGCCCACCAAGACUAUUACAGGUACGGGCUCUGAGAGGAGUAGCCCGGAGAUGGGUACUGAGACACGGACCCAGGCCCUAUGGGGCGCAGCAGGCGAGAAAACUUUGCAAUGUGCGAAAGCACGACAAGGUUAAUCCGAGUGGUUUCUGCUAAAGGAACCUUUUGUCGGUCCUAGAAACACCGAUGAAUAAGGGGUGGGCAAGUUCUGGUGUCAGCCGCCGCGGUAAAACCAGCACCUCAAGUGGUCAGGAUGAUUAUUGGGCCUAAAGCAUCCGUAGCCGGCUCUGUAAGUUUUCGGUUAAAUCUGUACGCUCAACGUACAGGCUGCCGGGAAUACUGUAGAGCUAGGGAGUGGGAGAGGUAGACGGUACUCGGUAGGAAGGGGUAAAAUCCUUUGAUCUAUUGAUGACCACCUGUGGCGAAGGCGGUCUACCAGAACACGUCCGACGGUGAGGGAUGAAAGCUGGGGGAGCAAACCGGAUUAGAUACCCGGGUAGUCCCAGCUGUAAACUAUGCAAACUCAGUGAUGCAUUGGCUUGUGGCUAAUGCAGUGCUGCAGGGAAGCCGUUAAGUUUGCCGCCUGGGAAGUACGUACGCAAGUAUGAAACUUAAAGGAAUUGGCGGGGCAGCAC
RNAcentral lists this ribosomal RNA (821 nucleotides) under uncultured archaeon. RNAcentral describes it as "bacterial SSU rRNA". It matches the Rfam family "Archaeal small subunit ribosomal RNA", at positions 52 to 879 of the family's 1478-position model. The record is from RNAcentral.